This 1533-nucleotide ribosomal RNA is filed under the name Streptococcus pneumoniae GA47778. Its description in RNAcentral is "bacterial SSU rRNA". It matches the Rfam family "Bacterial small subunit ribosomal RNA". The record is from RNAcentral. Lineage: Bacteria; Bacillati; Bacillota; Bacilli; Lactobacillales; Streptococcaceae.
GAGUUUGAUCCUGGCUCAGGACGAACGCUGGCGGCGUGCCUAAUACAUGCAAGUAGAACGCUGAAGGAGGAGCUUGCUUCUCUGGAUGAGUUGCGAACGGGUGAGUAACGCGUAGGUAACCUGCCUGGUAGCGGGGGGAUAACUAUUGGAAACGAUAGCUAAUACCGCAUAAGAGUGGAUGUUGCAUGACAUUUGCUUAAAAGGUGCACUUGCAUCACUACCAGAUGGACCUGCGUUGUAUUAGCUAGUUGGUGGGGUAAGGGCUCACCAAGGCGACGAUACAUAGCCGACCUGAGAGGGUGAUCGGCCACACUGGGACUGAGACACGGCCCAGACUCCUACGGGAGGCAGCAGUAGGGAAUCUUCGGCAAUGGACGGAAGUCUGACCGAGCAACGCCGCGUGAGUGAAGAAGGUUUUCGGAUCGUAAAGCUCUGUUGUAAGAGAAGAACGAGUGUGAGAGUGGAAAGUUCACACUGUGACGGUAUCUUACCAGAAAGGGACGGCUAACUACGUGCCAGCAGCCGCGGUAAUACGUAGGUCCCGAGCGUUGUCCGGAUUUAUUGGGCGUAAAGCGAGCGCAGGCGGUUAGAUAAGUCUGAAGUUAAAGGCUGUGGCUUAACCAUAGUAGGCUUUGGAAACUGUUUAACUUGAGUGCAAGAGGGGAGAGUGGAAUUCCAUGUGUAGCGGUGAAAUGCGUAGAUAUAUGGAGGAACACCGGUGGCGAAAGCGGCUCUCUGGCUUGUAACUGACGCUGAGGCUCGAAAGCGUGGGGAGCAAACAGGAUUAGAUACCCUGGUAGUCCACGCUGUAAACGAUGAGUGCUAGGUGUUAGACCCUUUCCGGGGUUUAGUGCCGUAGCUAACGCAUUAAGCACUCCGCCUGGGGAGUACGACCGCAAGGUUGAAACUCAAAGGAAUUGACGGGGCCCCGCACAAGCGGUGGAGCAUGUGGUUUAAUUCGAAGCAACGCGAAGAACCUUACCAGGUCUUGACAUCCCUCUGACCGCUCUAGAGAUAGAGUUUUCCUUCGGGACAGAGGUGACAGGUGGUGCAUGGUUGUCGUCAGCUCGUGUCGUGAGAUGUUGGGUUAGGUCCCGCAACGAGCGCAACCCCUAUUGUUAGUUGCCAUCAUUUAGUUGGGCACUCUAGCGAGACUGCCGGUAAUAAACCGGAGGAAGGUGGGGAUGACGUCAAAUCAUCAUGCCCCUUAUGACCUGGGCUACACACGUGCUACAAUGGCUGGUACAACGAGUCGCAAGCCGGUGACGGCAAGCUAAUCUCUUAAAGCCAGUCUCAGUUCGGAUUGUAGGCUGCAACUCGCCUACAUGAAGUCGGAAUCGCUAGUAAUCGCGGAUCAGCACGCCGCGGUGAAUACGUUCCCGGGCCUUGUACACACCGCCCGUCACACCACGAGAGUUUGUAACACCCGAAGUCGGUGAGGUAACCGUAAGGAGCCAGCCGCCUAAGGUGGGAUAGAUGAUUGGGGUGAAGUCGUAACAAGGUAGCCGUAUCGGAAGGUGCGGCUGGAUCACC